CUUUUUGUGAGUUCUCUUAGCGCUUGCCCCUGCUGCGCAGUUCGCGAAAGCAACAUGGCGCCGUAAACUGUAUGUGCCGGUAUGUGUCGGUGCCGAUUUUCGCAAACGCUUGGGUUCCUUCAGCGUUCGACUGGAUGUGCUGUGAAUACCGCUGCUUUUUCGGUGCGCGCAAGCCGUGUGAAGACCGACGGCAGUGUUUCUUGGUGCGCGGUGAAGCGUAGCGAAGCCUGUGCCUCGGUGUGUUUAUGAAGCGGGGAUCGGCGCCUGUGUACCGACGGUAACUAGCAUUCGAGGAGCCUGCAGUGCGUGUUUGAGUGUCGGUAACAGUUCGUUUGCUUCGCUUUCCAGUGUCUCAGUAAGGUGCAGUGCGGCAUUUCGAAUUGACAACAUUUCGGCACGUUACUUGAGUGAUUCUGUGCUCGCACGGUAACGCAUGAACUACGCUGUGUAUUUGGUUCUUGCUUCGCCACGGGUUAGCCCGUGCGCUUCUAUUUUCUUGUGAGCAGUCCAGGCAAAUGCAGUGUUCGGGAGUGAAACGAUGUGCGUUAUGAACAGUGGUGCUGUGUUGACAUUUCCAAGACUUGUGAAGAGGCUGUGCCCGUGUGACAGAAUAUAAAAGCGUUGAUAACCGUGUUUCGCCCUACGAAGUGGCGUUUUCUUUUUUAACUCGUUGCUUCUCCUUCUUGUGAUAACCGUAAUCCGAACGUCAUAACGUGUCGAACCGAAGUCGCACGCCGAAACAUUCUGCUGUAAAUGUGGCUGCUUUGGCAGUGCGCCUUGACUGUUGUCCGGUGAAAACUUGGACUUGUACCUGGCAGCGAAAGCACGUGGACGUCACGCUUUGAUCCGGACAGAACACACUUCUCACUGGUGCCUUGCCUUGGAUGAAGUCGUAGACCAGCACCUGCUAACUACAGGUUUUCGAGUCCAUCUGUCCUGUCGUUUUGCACGGCACUGGAGCCUUUACUACAGCGGCCCAACGGCGACUUCUCACGCUUCACCAGUGGACGUACACGUCUUGCUAGCCUUGCAUUUCUACGUCAACGGCAGCUUCCAGUCCACAGACGUCUUUUGCCUGUGGCUGCAGAGUGCAUUCGAUUCCCGAUGACGCUGACGGCUGCUAAUAUCGUUGUGCCAUCGAUCGCAGACUUUCGUAAGGUCCUGGAAUCCAUCCAUUGCAAGCACUGGCAAAUCAAGCCACCUUAUGACUUGGAGCACCUGUAGAGAAAUAGGAAGGACUUGUGCUCCCUAAAUGUACAAGUCUUUUGCAACGGUAGGGGCGUCAUCAUCCAGCCGACCUCGAAGGGGCCUGGAAGCAUGCAUGGCAGCCUCAUCUGGAUGGACUGUGCUCUUCCUGGGAGUUCAAGGGCAGAAAACUGCCUAAUGGCUGGUUGCUAGGUGACUCUCGCUGUGCCUGAGAGCCAUGGGUGCUCACCCUCCUGUCCGUGGCUGGCCCAGCUGAGCAGCAGUGCAGUGCAGCCCCCACCCAUGCAAGACAAGUCAUACAGUGCGCCUUUGGUGUUCUUAGCAGGACACAGCAUAUCCGUCCGGCAUGGCAUUGACAGUAAUAGUAAUGAUGGUGAAUGUUUGUGGAAACCAUAAGAGCCUAUUAACAUGCAUUUGUUGAUUAUGAGUGUGUUUGUUGCUCACAAUCAUUUCUCCUAAUCAAGUGCAUUUUUUUUUCAAAGUGUACUUUUGGUAGGAAAAACGGCUUUGAGAAACAGAAACACACAUAAUCCGCAAAUGCUUUGUGUUUUCUAGUCUUCAAAAUUGUUCCUGCACAUUGUAUGAUGAGGUGGCUAAGUUAGAUAACGUUAAAGUGAUGAACAAUAGCUGUUGUCUUGUAACAUAGCAAUACAUGAGUACACUCUAAGAAAAAAUCGAGCAUUUUUUAGGAUUUCUGCCACACAACAAUAACAUAAUCUUGCUUGCUCGGGUUUUCUCUUUUGAAAACCUGGCUCUUGGCACUUUCCUAUCAAGAAUGCUGUCACUCUAAUAACGCGCGUAAUUCGUGACCGGGAAGUGCCGAAACCGUGGUGGUAACGCGAGGAAAGUACCUGAGAUGGAUGACGAUUGUAGUUGUGGGGUGCAAUACUCCCCAAAUACUACAUUUUUUCUUAGAGUGUAGCAUAGUGAACUCAUUUGUGGUAGGCUUCUUGCACCUAGUGUAAAGUCGAAAUAGAAGAUACUUUGUUGGCUUAUGCCUCACUAUUAGGCAGAAGUUUGUUGCCUUCAAAAUGAACAUCGUAGUUAUACAUUUAUAUCAUAAAAUAUUUUUCAAAGACUUCAUUGUUGGUGGCUCUAUGUUCAGACCUUUUUUUGUUUUUAAUAUUUCUUCAUACUUGUCAUCGGCUUCUGAAAAUACGAGAGCUGGAGUUCUAGCACAUAUCAGCUGUCCAGUUUUACACAUAGCACGGUUGUAACAAUCAUCUGUAUUUUUAUAUGUUCCAGCAGUAUCACGGGAUCAGGUGGCCCACUGUCAUCUAAUUGUACAGUGUAUCUCAGACAAAACGCACAAGGCCAACAAGUAGACAGCGACUACCAGUGACUGUGUCCUGCUGUUCAAUGUGCACGUCAACAGACAGAAUGCAUUGUGAUAUCUAGAACAGUUAGCAUUGUAUGGUGAGAAUCUGCACAGCUGCAGUUUAAUUGUUGAGCAGUGCAUCAUUCAGCAAUUCCUUGCACUUGAGGAUUCAAAAUUAAUUAAAUUCUGCAUUUAAUAUACGACGCCUUGACAUUAAUGUAAAGCACACUGUAGUGGUAAUGUGCAAAUUAAUUUCGGCUACCUUGAAUUUUCAACAUGCACGUAAAUCAAAUGCAUGUAUGUCUCUGCAUUUCACUGCCAUUAGAAACAGCAGCCAUGGUCGGCAACCAAAACCGUGUUUUCAUGUUUGGUAGUCCAAGAAUGAAACCAUUGAAGGGGGUAAUUUUGCACUUGGUCGAUAUAGUCGUUCAGGAUACGCGCAUUAGUAUAGCACAAAUGAUUUUAUGUUUAUAUAAGCUCUGGAAAGUCCUUUUCCACGCAUUAUUUAGAUGCAAGAGGAGCGUCCUAGUACGUCUAACAGGCUUUAGCACCUGUGUAAUGUUAUCCCAUCGCCGUUCUGUCCUCUUCAACAGUCAUCCUCUCUGUAUGUACUGUGUAAGUUUUAAUUUUUUUUCAUAUAGUGUUUGUUGCCAUAGUUUUCCCGAUAAUGUAAUUGUAUACUCUGCAAAUAGUUUCUCAUCUAUUCAGCUUUGCUCAUUUUACUGCUGAAAGUAUUUAUUACUUUUUGUAGGGUGAUUAUAGCAUGCAUUUACUUAUGCCUUUUGAUGCGUCUGUACAAUGGUUUAGCCUGAAGAAGGCUGUUGGUUUACUCUAAUCUUGAAACUGGCGACUUCAAACAAAUUUCAAGGCUGAUAACCAUUACUACUAUCUUCAGAUAAGUUGUGAUUGCUCCAUGAAAAUGUAUUUAAGAUUCUGUAAACUGUGCCAGGUAAAUGUUUUUAAAUUAUUUUAUUGUUGUCCAUGUUUUAUGCGCCUGACACGUAAUUACUUCAUCGUGGUACAUUAUAAAAUGUUAUUCUGCACAUUUCUGCGGAUAAACAUUGCAGCUGAGGCCAGCAGCAAGAUAUACAUGCAAGGCACUGAAGCUUCACAUCACAUGCCUUGCCCGGAAGUGCAUUGAAUUUUUUUUUCGAGCGGAAUGAGAGACUGCUAUACAGCAGCCUCUCAUUCGAAGGAAGUCGGCACAUGUGCACAUUUUGAAACCUUUUUGAGGAGUGUUUUCAGGAGAAGCAAUAGAGUCUUGACAUGUCAACAACAGCAUUAUUUGUACCGAGGAGCUUAGUAACAGCGAAUUGUUUUAUUCAUGUAUUGUCCAGAAUUUGUCCGACCUGUGCCUAACAUGGCACACGUUAUACCUGUGCCUAACACGUCACCCUACAUGGCUUCUGAUAGUGUUGUCAAUGUGCCGGACUAUGUAAAUAAACUAUGUGUCAUAUUGCAGACAUGUACCAAAAUGUGAUGCAUUGCGCUUUUCCUUGGCAUCACAUUGCCAGGGUCUCUUUUCUUAUAUAUCGUCGUGGGCUGCCGCCCACGAAAAUGUACAAAAAUUGCUUGUGAGUGGGCAGCAGCAGGAACUAUGCAUCAAAUUGUUCCAAGAGGGUUCGAGAAAUGCCGAGUUGGCACAUAAGAGUGGUGAGAGAUUUCUCUCGUAAGUUCCUGCCUUGAAACCUCAUGUGCUCAGCAUUGUAUCAGCAUUGUUGUUUUAUAGCAGUUCAUCCUAUUACCUACACCUCAAUGUAUGUAUGUAUGUAUGUAUGUAUGUAUGUAUGUAUGUAUGUAUGUAUGUAUGUAUGUAUGUAUGUAUGUAUGUAUGUAUGUAUGUAUGUAUGUAUGUAUGUAUGUAUGUAUGUAUGUAUGUAUGUAUGUAUCUUUUAAACAAAAACUUACGUUUUUUUGUUUACUGUAACUUUUAUAAGAAUUUUGCUAUUUGCUUUCUAGUUCUCCUUUUUCUAUCUCAUUUUCAUUUCUCAAGUAUGUUUCCUACUGUGCAAAAAUGAAUAUAACCUUACAUAAAAUGUGUGCAUUCAAACAAGAUGUUUCAUUUUACAACGUACAUUUCUGAGCAAGAAGUUGGAAACUAUGCAACCAACCAGCAAAAAUAAGUUUAUAGGACAGCUCCUCCGUCUAACAUUGCUUCUACAGAUUGCGUAGAAUAGACUAAUCGACUUCAACCAACAUAACCAAGCUUUCGCCCGUGGCUGUACAUACUUUUACAUAUGUGCGUGGUAUUUCUACGUAUUGUCAUUACGUACGUGUUGCCAAUUACUAUUUAGGGCACAAAACUAGUCAAGCUGAAUACGCGGAUUUUUUUCUGUCCACCUGUCAUCUAUACUGUAACUGCUGUUGAUAAAGAAUAA
Long non-coding RNA from Rhipicephalus sanguineus (brown dog tick), 4902 nucleotides. RefSeq lists it as uncharacterized. The transcript has 3 exons. NCBI's taxonomy places the organism in Eukaryota, Metazoa, Arthropoda, Arachnida, Ixodida, Ixodidae. The record is from RefSeq and is a predicted model, not a curated record.